AGAGUUGAUUAUGGCUCAGGAUGAACGCUAGCUACAGGCUUAACACAUGCAAGUCGAGGGGCAUCAUGGAGUUGCUGCAAACUCUGAUGGCGACCGGCGCACGGGUGAGUAACGCGUAUCCAACCUUCCCUAUAGUAGAGGAUAGCCCGGCGAAAGUCGGAUUAAUACUCUAUGUUUUCCGUUGCAGACAUCUAAGAUGGAACAAAGGCUUGCCGCUAUAGGAUGGGGAUGCGUCUGAUUAGGUAGUCGGCGGGGUAACGGCCCACCGAGCCAUCGAUCAGUAGGGGUUCUGAGAGGAAGGUCCCCCACAUUGGAACUGAGACACGGUCCAAACUCCUACGGGAGGCAGCAGUGAGGAAUAUUGGUCAAUGGGCGAGAGCCUGAACCAGCCAAGUAAGCGUGCAGGACGACGGCCCUAUGGGUUGUAAACCGCUUUUAUGCGGGGAUAAAGUUCACUACGUGUAGUGUUUUGUAGGUACCGCAUGAAUAAGGACCGGCUAAUUCCGUGCCAGCCGCGGC
This 519-nucleotide ribosomal RNA is filed under the name uncultured bacterium. RNAcentral describes it as "bacterial SSU rRNA". It matches the Rfam family "Bacterial small subunit ribosomal RNA", at positions 8 to 518 of the family's 1533-position model. The record is from RNAcentral.